This 574-nucleotide long non-coding RNA is filed under the name Brachypodium distachyon (stiff brome). RNAcentral describes it as "long non-coding RNA (BDIS_LNC002799)". The record is from RNAcentral. Lineage: Eukaryota; Viridiplantae; Streptophyta; Magnoliopsida; Poales; Poaceae.
GGACGGAGGGAGUGUAAUGCUCGUUAAUUAUCUGCCUUACGGGACAAGGACUCGGCUGAGACGCUGGUCGGAUUAAUUAGCAGGUCUCACUCAUCUCCGCGCAUCAGUCACAAAUUUUCUCACCUCAUUAAUUCACCGCUAACUCAUAUAUGCAUGCGUGUGGCCCUCUCCUGGACGAUCGACGCACUACUGUCAGUCUGUGGCUCUGUUAAUAUACGGUCGGAUAGCACGAAUUCAUUAAUGGCAUGUUAUAAAAAAAAUCGAUCUAGGAAAUAUAAAUAAAAGCUAAGAACCAUAGCAUACAAGAUUUUGUUAAGCAGAACUGCUAUAAGCUCCUUUGAGAACCGGGAAGCUGCAGUCCACGUCGUUGGGCAGAUUUUUUUUUUUUUUGAGAGGAACGUCGUUGGGCAGAUAAACGAGGGCGUCGCUGUCGUUGCCAAGAGGCCCAAGACCAACUGCAACAAUGUCGCAGCCCUCGAAAUGAAAGAGAACACGGCCGUAAGGCCCACUCGUUCGUACUGUACUGGGCCACAUUGCUGCGGUGCCGGCUUUCCAGGCCUGUGAAAAAUAAAGG